This 253-nucleotide ribosomal RNA is filed under the name uncultured bacterium. RNAcentral describes it as "partial 16S ribosomal RNA". It matches the Rfam family "Bacterial small subunit ribosomal RNA", at positions 524 to 776 of the family's 1533-position model. The record is from RNAcentral.
UACGGAGGGGGCAAGCGUUGUUCGGCAUUACGGGGCGUAAAGGGCGCGUAGGCGGCCAGUUGCGUCGGGUGUGGAAGCCCCGGGCUCAACCUGGGAGGUGCACUUGAUACGGGCUGGCUGGAAUCCGGGAGAGGAUGGUGGAAUUCCCAGUGUAGAGGUGAAAUUCGUAGAUAUUGGGAAGAACACCGAUGGCGAAGGCAGCCAUCUGGACCGGGAUUGACGCUGAGGCGCGAAAGCGUGGGGAGCAAAUAGG